Molecule: ribosomal RNA, 429 nt
Filed under: Actinomycetes bacterium
Lineage: Bacteria; Bacillati; Actinomycetota; Actinomycetes
Description: Actinobacteria bacterium partial 16S ribosomal RNA
Rfam family: Bacterial small subunit ribosomal RNA
Source: RNAcentral
UAGGGAAUCUUCCGCAAUGGGCGAAAGCCUGACGGAGCAACGCCGCGUGAGUGAUGAAGGUCUUCGGAUCGUAAAACUCUGUUAUUAGGGAAGAACAAAUGUGUAAGUAACUAUGCACGUCUUGACGGUACCUAAUCAGAAAGCCACGGCUAACUACGUGCCAGCAGCCGCGGUAAUACGUAGGUGGCAAGCGUUAUCCGGAAUUAUUGGGCGUAAAGCGCGCGUAGGCGGUUUUUUAAGUCUGAUUUGAAAGCCCACGGCUCAACCGUGGAGGGUCAUUGGAAACUGGAAAACUUGAGUGCAGAAGAGGAAAGUGGAAUUCCAUGUGUAGCGGUGAAAUGCGCAGAGAUAUGGAGGAACACCAGUGGCGAAGGCGACUUUCUGGUCUGUAACUGACGCUGAUGUGCGAAAGCGUGGGGAUCAAACAGG